CCUACGGGUGGCUGCAGUGGGGAAUAUUGGGCAAUGGGCGAAAGCCUGACCCAGCAAUGCCGCGUGAAUGAAGAAGGUCUUAGGAUUGUAAAAUUCUGUCCUAUGGGAAGAAAAAAAUGACGGUACCAUAGGAGGAAGCCCCGGCUAACUACGUGCCAGCAGCCGCGGUAAUACGUAGGGGGCGAGCGUUGUCCGGAAUUACUGGGCGUAAAGGGCGUGUAGGCGGGAAAGCAAGUCAGAUGUGAAAACCACGGGCUCAACCUGUGGCCUGCAUUUGAAACUGUUUUUCUUGAGUACUGGAGAGGCAGACGGAAUUCCUAGUGUAGCGGUGAAAUGCGUAGAUAUUAGGAGGAACACCAGUGGCGAAGGCGGUCUGCUGGACAGCAACUGACGCUGAGGCGCGAAAGCGUGGGGAGCAAACAGGAUUAGAUACCCGAGUAGUC
RNAcentral lists this ribosomal RNA (443 nucleotides) under uncultured bacterium. RNAcentral's name for it is "partial 16S ribosomal RNA". It matches the Rfam family "Bacterial small subunit ribosomal RNA", at positions 338 to 795 of the family's 1533-position model. The record is from RNAcentral.